This 716-nucleotide ribosomal RNA is filed under the name Pseudomonas aeruginosa. Its description in RNAcentral is "bacterial SSU rRNA". It matches the Rfam family "Bacterial small subunit ribosomal RNA", at positions 57 to 768 of the family's 1533-position model. Lineage: Bacteria; Pseudomonadati; Pseudomonadota; Gammaproteobacteria; Pseudomonadales; Pseudomonadaceae. The record is from RNAcentral.
GCAAGUCGAGCGGAUGAAGGGAGCUUGCUCCUGGAUUCAGCGGCGGACGGGUGAGUAAUGCCUAGGAAUCUGCCUGGUAGUGGGGGAUAACGUCCGGAAACGGGCGCUAAUACCGCAUACGUCCUGAGGGAGAAAGUGGGGGAUCUUCGGACCUCACGCUAUCAGAUGAGCCUAGGUCGGAUUAGCUAGUUGGUGGGGUAAAGGCCUACCAAGGCGACGAUCCGUAACUGGUCUGAGAGGAUGAUCAGUCACACUGGAACUGAGACACGGUCCAGACUCCUACGGGAGGCAGCAGUGGGGAAUAUUGGACAAUGGGCGAAAGCCUGAUCCAGCCAUGCCGCGUGUGUGAAGAAGGUCUUCGGAUUGUAAAGCACUUUAAGUUGGGAGGAAGGGCAGUAAGUUAAUACCUUGCUGUUUUGACGUUACCAACAGAAUAAGCACCGGCUAACUUCGUGCCAGCAGCCGCGGUAAUACGAAGGGUGCAAGCGUUAAUCGGAAUUACUGGGCGUAAAGCGCGCGUAGGUGGUUCAGCAAGUUGGAUGUGAAAUCCCCGGGCUCAACCUGGGAACUGCAUCCAAAACUACUGAGCUAGAGUACGGUAGAGGGUGGUGGAAUUUCCUGUGUAGCGGUGAAAUGCGUAGAUAUAGGAAGGAACACCAGUGGCGAAGGCGACCACCUGGACUGAUACUGACACUGAGGUGCGAAAGCGUGGGGAG